Molecule: transfer RNA, 87 nt
Filed under: bacterium
Lineage: Bacteria
Also listed under: 1 other name
Description: tRNA-Leu
Rfam family: tRNA
About the family: Transfer RNA (tRNA) molecules are approximately 80 nucleotides in length. Their secondary structure includes four short double-helical elements and three loops (D, anti-codon, and T loops).
Source: RNAcentral
GCGGACGUGGCGGAAUUGGCAGACGCGCUAGAUUUAGGAUCUAGUAAGUGAAAACUUGUGGGGGUUCGAGUCCCCCCGUCCGCACCA